AUAAAAAUUAUUUAUGGUUUUUAAAUUUAUUAUUUAUUUAUUUUACAUAUAAAUUUUAGUAAAUUUUAUUAUUUAAAAAAUAAUUUUAAUUAAAUAUGUAGUAAUUAUUAUUAAAAAUUUAAGUAAUUAAGAUUUAGUAAUAUAAAAAUUUAUAACAAAUUUUGUGCCAGCAGUUGCGGUUAUACAAAAAUUAAAUUAAAUUUUUUUUUAAUAAUAAAAAAUAAGUUAAUUUUAUUUAUAAAUAUUAAAUUAUAAAGUGAAAUUUUUAUUUUAAUUAAAUAAAUUAUUUUUAUGUUUUAAUAAAUUUUAAUAAUAAACUAGGAUUAGAUACCCUAUUAUUUAAAAUUUAAAUUUAAAAAUAUUAAAAUAGUAAAUAAAUAUUAUUGAAACUUAAAUAAUUUGGCGGUAUUUUAGUUUAUUUAGAGGAAUCUGUUUAGUAAUUGAUAAUCCACGAAUAAAUUUACUUAAUUUUUUUUUAUUUUGUAUAUCGUUGUUAAAAAAAUAUUUUUUUAUAAAAUUAAUAUUUAAAAAUUAAUAAUUUAAAUUAAAUCAGAUCAAGAUGCAGAUUAUAAUUAAGAUUAAAAAUGGAUUACAAUAAAUUUAUUUAUUUUGGAUUUUAAUUUUAAAUUGUUAAUUGAAAUUGGAUUUAAAUGUAAUUUUAUUUAAUUUAAUAAAAUGAUUUAUAUUUAAAAUAUGUACAUAUUGCCCGUCGCUUUCAUAUAUAAAUUGGAAUAAGUCGUAACAAAGUAGAGGUACUGGAAAGUGUUUCUAGAAAGUA
RNAcentral lists this ribosomal RNA (778 nucleotides) under Phlossa conjucta. RNAcentral's name for it is "12S ribosomal RNA". The record is from RNAcentral. Lineage: Eukaryota; Metazoa; Arthropoda; Insecta; Lepidoptera; Limacodidae.